UGCAGUCUUGUUUCAUGCUCCACCUUUUUCUCAUUUAUUGCAUGAUUUUGGUAACUGAGUUGCAGCGUUACAAGCUGCAUCUUCACCACCAUCUCAGCUUCAACUAGAAGCAAACGCUAUACUCAGCAGUGGAUGGUGCAACACCUCUGAUCCAGAUUUCAACAUCUCUCAUUGCUGUCAAUGGCGUGGCACCAUAACGCUGGAAGUAUAACCGAAAUCACCAAAAUGCCUUUUCAUCCUGAAUCAGGUGAAUUACCUUCUUCACUAGCAAAUUUGAGUUUGUUACAACACUUAAGCUUGUUUAGCAACAAUAUUCCAGGUUCCAUUCCUAGUGAGAUAGGGUUUCUGAAAAAUCUCAUUACAUAAGACCUAUCUUAUAACAGAAUUAGUGUGCCUAGUUCAAUUACAAUUUACAAAUCUCACACAUUUGGAAGAUUUAGGCAUUUCCAAUAAUCGAUUAGUUGGUUCGCUACCUUCUAAUUUAGGUCAAUUUACCAAGUUGCGAUCAAUGAGGCUACAUAGGAAUUCCAUUAGUGGCACCUUGCCUGCUUCAGUGGCAAAUUUCACCCUAUUAGAAGAGCUUCACGUUUCGCAAAAUCUUCUCGUCGGUUACUUCCCUUCUGAUCUUCAUCGAUUAACUGAGCUUCAAGUGUUCAAACUGAAUAACAAUUCUGUUAGUGGGAACAUAGUACCCUUGUCAGGAUCGACCUCGGUCACAACCUGCUCAGUGGUAAUGUACCACCACAGGAUGGAUAUUUGCGGAAGCUGACCUAUUUGGAUCUCAGCUGCAAUAAUCUCACCGGAGCAGUUCCCGGUUUUCUCUAUCAUGUCGAUUAUGUGGACAUGUCCUAUAAUUAUUUGAAGGGUUCCAUUCCAGAUGGUGUCUCUGGUUAUGAUCUAAGAGGGAACAAGGAUGUUUGCAGUGACAUUUCUUAUUACCAAGUCAAGUUUCUGUUCCAACCUUGUUUUCCUCACAAGAAGGGAAGUAAAAAAAUAAGCAGGGUAAAGCUCAUUGUUAGUCUUCAACUAUUUGUAUCUAAGCCUUAAUCGGUUCAUGUUAAUAUGAUGAAUGCAGAGCUUGCCUAUACUAUGGCUGUGAGCAAAAAGUGUGAUGUCUAUAGCUUCAGAGUGGUGGCACUUGAAACUUUAGUGGGAAGGCAUCCUAAGGAAAUACUAUCAGCCCUUCAAUCAACAUCAAAUGAAGGCAUCACAUUAUGUGAAAUACUAGACCCACGCCUUCCAGCACCAAAGAUGAAUGUUUUAGAUGACAUAGUUCAGGUUGCCAUAGUAACAUUUUCGUGCUUAAAUCCCAAUCCGUCAUCUUGACCAACAAUGAGAUGUGUGUCUCAAUAUCUUCUUUCACAUCUAGCACCAUUAAGCAUUCCUUUACGUGAAAUUACAUUGCAGCAGCUCAUGGCUCAAAAACUCAGUGUCAUUUAGAAUUGUCAACUAUUGAAGUCGAAAUAUCAAAUUGAUGUUGGUGCUAUCCGCAUUUAAUGAAGACUUUGACCAAAUUUAUCUCCACAAAUUGUUAUGUAACUUCAUAAAGUUAUGUUUAUCAGGUAACUUAUACAUCUUCAUAAAUUAUUGUGCUCACCGCAAACACUCAAUUUAGAUUA
This is an RNA transcript of Lotus japonicus, 1619 nucleotides long. It is a transcript of the gene named probable leucine-rich repeat receptor-like protein kinase At1g35710, with no coding region annotated. NCBI's taxonomy places the organism in Eukaryota, Viridiplantae, Streptophyta, Magnoliopsida, Fabales, Fabaceae. The record is from RefSeq and is a predicted model, not a curated record. The transcript has 2 exons.